RNAcentral lists this long non-coding RNA (13085 nucleotides) under Triticum aestivum (bread wheat). RNAcentral's name for it is "long non-coding RNA (TAES_LNC003352)". The record is from RNAcentral. Lineage: Eukaryota; Viridiplantae; Streptophyta; Magnoliopsida; Poales; Poaceae.
AUUAGAUUUCCCGGAAGCUCGCACCCAGAUUUUGUUAUCCACAUCGGUUGAUCCUUGCAUACUACCCCUCACGGUUGAUGCGACGAAUCUGAGACCUAGUAUGCAAUUACAAUGGGUGGAAUCAUUUAAAUUACUUGUUUCACAUAUGACGCAAAGUGCUAAAUAUCAAAACAUACGAGCAUCAUGCUUAUAUAAAACGACAAGUAAAUCACACGAGUACGCAGGACUGUAGGAGGUACCUAAAACAGCUAGUAAAUCACACAAGUAUCCUUUAAUGACACAGGAGGUGGUACCAUAACUACGACGUGAGAGUUAUGGUCAUCUUAAUUCACAUCGAAAAAAUGACCAAAUAUCUCUACUUCAGUGAAGAUGCAAUCCUACGUAUAAUCUAGAGUUAUGGUCACUGUCGUACAAUGGUGCAAUUAUGUACUCCACUAACUACCACUUCAUUAAUAGAUUUACAGUUUUAUUCAGUAAAAUAUUGGUUGUACUAAAAAGGAGUCAUCAAUAAAAAUAAAGAUUAAUCCCACUCCUAGCAGAGCUAAAAGAGAGUAAAUUCAGAAAUAUCAACUUAUAAUGCACAAUUUAUCACGGAUCCAUCCUAAAUGGCCAUCUAAUAAGCAACAUAUGCUUGCCCAAACUUUAUGUUGCAACAUCCCAAAUUGCCAUUAUAUAGUACCAAUAAUGAGGGAUGAGAAAAUAAAGAAUGAAGUUGUGAUACCCCCGAUUCACUCGUACACUAAUCAUGCACGCAAACGUGUACGAUCAAGAUCAGGGAUUCACGGAAAGAUAUCACAACACAACUCUAAAACAUAAAUAAGUCAUACAAGCAUCAUAAUACAAGCCAGGGGCCUCGAGGGCUCGAAUACAAGUGCUCGAUUAUAGACAAGUCAGCGGAAGCAACAAUAUCUGAGUACAGACAUAAGUUAAACAAGUUGCCAUAAGAUGGCUAGCACAAACUGGGAUACAGAUCGAAAGAGGCGCAGGCCUCCUGCCUGGGAUCCUCCUAAACUACUCCUGGUCGUCGUCAGCGGCCUGCACGUAGUAGUAGGCACCUCCAGUGUAGUAGGAAACAUCGUCGAAGGUGGCGUAUGGCUGCAGGGCUCUAGCAUCUGGUUGCGACAACCAGGUAGAAGGGAAAGGGGAAAAGAGGGAGAAAAGCAACCAUGAGUACUCAUCCAAAGUAAUCGCAAGCAAGGAGCUACACUACAUAUGCAUGGGUAUAUGUGUAAAGGGCCAUAUCGGUGGACUGAACUGCAGAAUGCCAGAAUAAGAGGGGGAUAGCUAAUCCUGUCGAAGACUACGCUUCUGGCAGCCUCCGUCUUGCAGCAUGUAGAAGAGAGUAGAUUGAAGUCCUCCAAGUAGCAUCGCAUAGCAUAAUCCUACCCGGCGAUCCUCCCCUCGUUGCCCUAUGGAAAAGCGAUCACCGGGUUGUCUGUGGAACUUGUCUGGGUGUGUUUUAUUAAGUAUCCGGUUCUAGUUGUCAUAAGGUCAAGGUACAACUCCAAGUCGUCCUGUUACCGAAGAUCAUGGCUAUUCAAAUAGAUUAACUUCCCUGCAGGGGUGCGCCACAUAACCCAACAUGCUCGAUCCCAUUUGGCCGGACACACUUUCCUGGGUCAUGCCCGGCCUCGGAAGAUCAACACGUCGCAGCCCCACCUAGGUACAACAGAGAGGUCAGCACGCCGGUCUAAAUCCUAUGCGCGCAGGGGUCUGGGCCCAUCGCCCAUUGCACACCUGCACGUUGCGUACGCGGCCGGUGAGCAGACCUAGCAACCUCCAUUACAAAGGAAGUUGCGUUAACGCAGUCCAACCCAACGCGCGCCGCUCAGUCGCUGACGUCAAAAAGGCUUCGGCUGAUACCACGACGUCGAGUGCCCAUAACUGUUCCCGCGUAGUUGGUUAGUGCGUAUAGGCCAGUAGCCAGACUCAGAUCAAAUACCAAGAUCUCGUUAAGCGUGUUAAGUAUCCGCGAACACCGAACAGGGCCAGGCCCACCUGUCUCCUAGGUUGUCUCAACCUGCCCUGCCGCUCCGCCACAAAGUAACAAUCGGGGGCCGUCGGGAACCCAGGCCCACCUCUACCGGGAUGGAGCCACCUGUCCUUUCAGCCCCCUCAUCAGAAUCACUUGCGGGUACUCAUCGAGCUGACCCGACUUUAGUCACCAACUGUAUAGUAUGUAUGUAUGUAUAGUAUAUACCCGUGAUCACCUCCCGUGUGAUCACGGCCCAAUAGUAUAGCAAGGCAGACUGACAAGAAUGUAGGGCCAAUGAUGAUAAACUAGCAUCCUGUACUAAGUAUUUAGGAUUGCAGGUAAGGUAUCAAUAGAUGUAGCAACAAUGUCAGGCUAUGCAUGAGAAUAGGAUUAACGGAAAGCAGUAACAUGCUACACUACUCUAAUGCAAGCAGUAUAGAGGAGAAUAGGCGAUAUCUGGUGAUCAAGGGGGGGGGGCUUGCCUGGUUGCUCUGGCAAGAGAGAGGGGUUGUCAACUCCAUAGUCGAACUGGGGCAUCAGCAUCGUCACGGGGUCUACCGAAGAGAAGAGGGGGGAGAAACAGUAAAUACAUAGCAAGCAAGUGCAUAAUAGGAUAACAGGCAGAGCUAGACGUGUUCUAACGCGGUAUGAGGUGAUACCGGUGAAGGGGGAAGCAUCCGGGAAGUAUUCCCGGGGUUCCGUGUUUUCGGGCAGAGGAGCCGGAGGGGGAAAGUUGCGAGUUCGAUAGGUUAGGGGGGUGUGGCGGACGAACGGGUUGCGUAUCCGGAAUCGUCUCGUCGUUCUAAGCAACUUUCAUGUACAAAGUAUUUUCAUCCGAGUUACGGAUUAUUUUAUAUUAAUUUUUAAAGUUUUAUGUCAUUUUUAGAAUUAACAGAAUUAAUUAAACCGAAAAUCAUUUUAUCACGUCAUCAUGAUGUCAGCAUGACAUCAACAGUCAACUGUCGACUUUGACUAGUCAACAGACCACUCGGUCCCACAUGUCAUUGUCUAAGGAUAACUAAACAUGUUUAAUUAGUUUAACUAGUGAUUAGGUUAGUCUAAACAGAAUUAAUUAAGUUAAUUAAUUUAGUUAAUUAAUUAAUUAACAUUUUUAUUUAUUUAUUUUUAUUACUUUUUUUUGUUCUGGGGCUGUGGGCCCCUCGUGUCAUAGAGUCAAGGCCUUAACGGGCGCGGGAACUGGGCUAACGGGGUUUCGCCCCGGUCGUGCAGGCGCGUGUGCCGGGCGCCUUAGCGCGCGGACAGGGGGGAAGGGGACGGCGUGUGGUCCGGCACCGGCGAUCGUGGCCGGUGCAGAGCGGCGCAGCGAGGCCGGCCGGAGCUGAGGGGAGGCGCGAUGGCAUGUGCGCGGGAUGCCAGAGGCGAGCAGCGCAACGACGAGCGAAGCUGGGCCGCGCGGGCGGGGCACCGCGGCCGAGCGGGAAGUUGCAUCGCGCAGGGCGCGGUCAGGCAGCCGUGUACGGCGAGGCGAUGGCGGGGAACGGCUCGGGCGCACGGUGACAGGGGAAGAGAGGAGAGGAGGAGGGCGCGUGCUCACAGGGGUGUUGCAGGGGUUCGGGCAGNNNNNNNNNNNNNNNNNNNNNNNNNNNNNNNNNNNNNNNNNNNNNNNNNNNNNNNNNNNNNNNNNNNNNNNNNNNNNNNNNNNNNNNNNNNNNNNNNNNNNNNNNNNNNNNNNNNNNNNNNNNNNNNNNNNNNNNNNNNNNNNNNNNNNNNNNNNNNNNNNNNNNNNNNNNNNNNNNNNNNNNNNNNNNNNNNNNNNNNNNNNNNNNNNNNNNNNNNNNNNNNNNNNNNNNNNNNNNNNNNNNNNNNNNNNNNNNNNNNNNNNNNNNNNNNNNNNNNNNNNNNNNNNNNNNNNNNNGAGCGAUUGGGCGCGGCCGUGCGGGAGGAGGGGAUCGAGCAGGGGCGCCCCUCCCCCAGGCACGAUGCGUGCGUGAGUGUGUGUGCGUGUGUUGCGUGUGGUGGCGGCGGGUGAGGGGACGAGGGGAAAGGUGGGGGGAGUGGAACGACGGGGGCAACGGGUUAGUGUUUCUGGGGGGUAGUGGCCUUGUAGGCCAGAGAUGGGGGGCGGCUGGGCCGGCCGGUCGGCCAGCUGGGCCGGGGCCCAACGGGAGGGGAGGUUUUCUCCUUUUGUUUGUUUUAUUUUCCCCUUGUUAUUUUUCUUUAUUUCUUUUCUAUUACUUUUAGUUUCACUUUUAUUUUAGAUAUUUGACUUACAAAAGUAGUUCCUAACUUAGUCUAAAUAAUUAUACUACGACCACAUAAGUUUGGGCAACUAGAUAGAAUAGUUUAAUAAUUUAUUAAUUGUAAAAAGCAUUUGAUUAAUUGUUUUACUACUAUUUUAUAUACUUUAGGACAAUCAAACACUUUCAAACAGGUUGGUUUUUCCACCAUUAUUACUUAUGCAUUAUUUGGCUCUCUCCGAACAUUUUUGUCCUAAGGUUUGAAAACUUUUAUUGUUUAUUUAAUUUUUUAAUUUGGACUCGAACAGGUUUCAAACUAACGUGAGAUUAGCAGCAGUAACCGAGGUGAUCUGGCAUCAUUAGCGUGGGAUCAUUGUAGCUUAAUUAUCCGGGCGUCACAAUUCUCCUCCACUACAAGAAAUCUCAUCCUGAGAUUUUAAGAGGUGGAGUAAGGGGGAAAGGUCUGGUUAUGAAAUUCUAACGUGUCUUCUCGGUCUUGGUUACUCUUCUCAAAGAGGUCAAUUGAUAGCGUUGAUGUCUACAUUCCUAUGCAUCGAUGCAUCAUGAUGAAGUUGUCAUUCUUCCUUCGGGAUCUUUACCGUACUUACGGAAGGAUAAGAGGGGGGAAACUCUAUAAGGACAGAUUCUAACAAAAUUGAGCAUCAGACGGUUAGCUCAGGGGAAGAAGCAUAAGUAUCUCUCGAAUUGAAACUUAAGAAGAUAUCGAGAGCAAAGUAAGAAGGUGCCAUGAGAAGUUUCAAGCGGGUAGGCAAUCGUUCGAUGCCUGAAACAAAGUGUAAAAGGGGUCCAGAGCAAUGGGAAUAAGUUUUGUGUCUGAUACCCGAAUAGAUCACUUGGCAGGUGGCCCGUGAGUCACAUAAGAAGCCAAGCUCGAGGAAUAACUUUGGAAACCGGGGGUGUACAGGAGAGUCAGGUUUCGAUCCUGGUGGAACUGUGGGUUAUGGGCCCACCAUGUGGGUUAAAAGUAGGAAGGGCGGUAAUGUCUCGCACGAUCAUGUAAGCAAGACAUGUCAGAGGAUAGCCUGUCACUUAUGUCGACAACAACAUCGAUACCAAGGGCGAGGGACGAAGAGAACCAUUUUCCUGCUCAUUGAAUGAGGCGGACCAAUAGGCAAAGUUCUCGUCCAUCGGCGGUUACCGGAAGUCAUCAACAGUAGAAACAGGGUUACACCAGACAGGAAGGUACACCGAGGUGUUUACCUAAGCAGGGGAUUACCACUGCUCGAUUAAGUAGUUUACAAGAAAGUUUGAACAAAACAACGGGAAGGAAAAUGUGCUUAUACAUGUAUAUCAGGGGUAUAUCCUUCCCAAGGACAAGCAGAGCAUGAUAUCCAUGACAGGAUAUUAGGUAGAAAACUCCUUAGGUAGGGGAGAGAAAUUUCAUGACAUUACCCAUACAUCGGUGUUUGGACAAUUGAGCAAGAAACAUUUAGCAUUGGGCUUCAAAUGUUCUUGUUGAAAAUUGGGGUACCACAUACAUGCUUCAGGUAGCAAUGAUAUGGUGUUUCAAUCAAGGGCCAGACUUUGGAUAUCGGAAGGAUCCAUUAGGAACAACUUGUAGGAUAAGUCUUACAAUUUCCUCCAGGAAGAAUGGUUAUCUUGCAGAAGAAAUUAUAAUGAUAGGUCGUCCAGCCGGGGGGUGGUGGUAGGCAUGACAUCAAGUUACCGGGUCAUCAAAGGAUCAACAUCAUAACCCUUGGAAAGUUGUCCCAACCAUCAUAUCUGACCGAGAUUCAUAUCCAAUUGGUGUCAUAAUACCUCAGACUCAGGAUGCUUGAGAAGAAAAGGUGCGACACAAUUUGACGUGAUGACACUGUAAGAUUCUUGAGAAAUGAACUAUGAAGUGAUUUCCGUUAACAAGAGUUCAUCAUUAACCCAAGGAGAGUACAAGGAGGUGGCUGAUGAACUCAGCUACAAUUCAUCAAGAUUUCCAUAGGAUGGAUUUCCACAAUUAUGUGAACAAGGAGAUAACAUUUGUCAGGUCAAAAUGAUAUAAUGGGAUAUGCUCGAGGAAAACAUACAUAAUUAAUCAUUGGUUGAAAGGUGCACCCGAAAUAUGGGCUGGGUUGCACGGCCAAUGUUAUAAUGGUGAUUCAAUUAUCAAAAGACUUAGAAUGAACUAUCACCCAUUCACUUGUUGGAAUCAACACGGGAACCAAGAAAGAAUGGUGAUGGUGAGAAGCAUCACUGUACCAAGAAUUCUUAAGAGGUGGUGAAAUUCUCACGACAUUCUUGACAUAAAGGAUGGUAAUACUCCAAGGUAAAUACGAACAAAUGCUGGAUAGCAAGCAUCUUAAGGUAUAACACAAAACACGAACAAGUUUGUGUUAAACAGAAGGCAAUAAAGUGGUCGAUGACAACACAAAUCAUCAAGGGCAAGGAUGGUAUUUCUCAUCAUGACUCCGGUUGAUAUCCUGGAAGAGCUCAUAAGGUUGAUGAUGAUCAUGACACAUUUGUCGAGAGAUUUCAUGAACAUGUAAUCAAUCAGCGAUGACAUCAAGUCAAGGGAAUGAUGAAGCAAGAGGUUAUUGGAACCACAGUUACGACACAAACUCGAACUCAAGCUUGUUGUUUAAGGUGAAAGGGUAUGACGAGGAAAAUCGACGUAAGCUUAGCUAUCGUCUUAAAUUGGUGCUCCGAGAAUAAGGACCAGGUAGCACAGUUAGAAUCAUCAUGACAACGAUAUAGCCAAACAGGCUAGGAAUGGCGUGAUCGGGUACAAACUCGUACUUAUAGAAGCUUACUGAAGAGCUGUUGAACCGCAGUGCGGACUCGGUUCAGUUAUCGGUGUCUAUGAGUGUUUAAUAACUCAGAGCCCGUGAAAAAUUGGAAUUAGUGGGAAGGUAGCACUUGAUGAAGAACUCAUAAGAAGUUAUGCAGUUCCAUGAUAAUCUCGAGAUACCAGGGGGUAAUACUCGAUGAAAUAUCAAAGUAGAGGUUGGACCGGGGUAUUGCUCUACAGAAGACAAGUGCUAAAACUUGCACGAGAAAUGGUAUUUAAAAGAGAACAUGAUCAGAACCACGAUUGCAAAAGGCCAGAUCCCUGAUAUAAGAUGAACUUAUACCAAAGGAAUAAUUAAUUUAAGAGAAGCUUUAAUGAUAAGAUCUACAUCGUGUCCAUGGGCAUGAACACAAGUUCAAGGUCGACUCCCACUUCUCCAAUGCAUAACCUUUCAUUCACUUCUCACAUUCGAUGAAGUUGCAGUUUUGAAAUUUUAUCUGGCGAAGCACCAGAAGAGUAUGAUUCGUGAAAACUUUCGGGUUCACACGGUUUAGAGAAGGCAUAUGUUCAACCCAUAGGGGCUUCUUAGAAACAUAUACCACAAGUUUCAAGAGUAAAUAACACAAGCCCGAAAACAGAGCAUGGUUGGCCAAGCAGAGGAUACAACUUAACAAAGGCAUUAUGUAUCAGGGGAAGAACUCACAAAGUGAUCAAAUGUGAAGGACACUGUCGGAUAACAAUCCAACAAAGGACUUGAUGGUCCACAAAGGAUCUGAUGUGAGUAUCGAUACUCAACCAGAAGAGGAAGGAAUGCAAAUGCAACAGGUUAUGGAACCAUCUGAAUAAUCCAAAGCUUAGAUGCAAAGGAAUUAUGAUUUCCAAAACAAAGGAUCAGAAGCAGACGUUCUGAUCAAGGAUGGAUCAAUUGAAUAUACCAGAGGCACAAUUCGACGACAGAUAGUUUGGUCGAGAACCAGCUCAUGUUCAAAAUGACGUCUGAGCCGGAAAGAUAAUCCUAGGACUCGACUGAUGAUUGCGAACAUUCACAACAUAUUGAAUCAACGGACUCAAAAAUGAUGGUGACAAAGGAUGCCAAUAUGAUUACUAUACUUAUGGGAUUAAUCAUAAUGAAAGCAAACAAGAAAUUCCAGAGCAAUAGGUUGCUGAGGAUUUUCGGAAUAUCGAAUGGUAUUUCGAAGACUUUUGUGUAACACAUGAACAACUGGGGGAUGAGCGGAUACUCGAUAAGUGUGAGAAUCAACCGUAGGGGUAUUCAGGUGACAAAGAAUAGCAAGGUAGUAAGCUCAAAGGAUUAUCGAAACAACGACGAGUUUUUCGGGGUAUCUUGUAAUAGCAAGACCAACUGGGGACGAAGGUAGGAAUAACAACUGCAAGUAGUUAUCCAUAAGGGUUUACGGUGGAAGGGGAAUUGCAAACGCGAUGAACACAAGUUCUCGAGUUAACAGCGGAGAGUAUCUUCAGGGUCUUCUGUUGCAGCCGACGAUCAUCAGUAAUAAGGGGCUCUCCGGGUGAAAGUGAUAACGAGAUCCUAAUGUUAGAUUUAGCAAAGUUCAUGUAACCCGAAUAGAAGAGAGAUUAGAGUCCCAGAGUAAGAUCGAGGAGUAAAAGAUCCUAAUACCACCCAAUGGCGACGUGGGCCCAUGGGCCACACAGCCAAGUUAGUAAAAGUUUUGUAAAGUCUAGACUCGACUUCGGCCAAGGAGUGUGGAAGGGGAAUUCCUACAGGCAGUCGGCUCUAAUACCAACUUGUGAUGCCCCGAUUCAAUCGUACACUAAUCAUGCACGCAAACGUGUACGAUCAAGAUCAGGGACUCACGAAAAGAUAUCACAACACAACUCUAAAACAUAAAUAAGUCAUACAAGCAUGAUAAUACAAGCCAGGGGCCUCGAGGGCUCGAAUACAAGUGCUCGAUUAUAGACAAGUCAGCGGAAGCAACAAUAUCUGAGUACAGACAUAAGUUAAACAAGUUGCCAUAAGAUGGCUAGCACAAACUGGGAUACAGAUCGAAAGAGGCGCAGGCCUCCUGCCUGGGAUCCUCCUAAACUACUCCUGGUCGUCGUCAGCGGCCUGCACGUAGUAGUAGGCACCUCCAGUGUAGUAGGAAACAUCGUCGACGGUGGCGUCUGGCUCCAGGGCUCUAGCAUCUGGUUGCGACAACCAGGUAGAAGGGAAAGGGGAAAAGAGGGAGAAAAGCAACCGUGAGUACUCAUCCAAAGUACUCGCAAGCAAGGAGCUACACUACAUAUGCAUGGGUAUAUGUGUAAAGGGCCAUAUCGGUGGACUGAACUGUAGAAUGCCAGAAUAAGAGGGGGGUAGCUAAUCCUGUCGAAGACUACACUUCUGGCAGCCUCCGUCUUGCAGCAUGUAGAAGAGAGUAGAUUGAAGUCCUCCAAGUAGCAUCGCAUAGCAUAAUCCUACCCGGCGAUCCUGCCCUCGUUGCCCUGUGGAAAAGCGAUCACCGGGUUGUCUGUGGAACUUGUCUGGGUGUGUUUUAUUAAGUAUCCGGUUCUAGUUGUCAUAAGGUCAAGGUACAACUCCAAGUCGUCCUGUUACCGAAGAUCACGGCUAUUCGAAUAGAUUAACUUCCCUGCAGGGGUGCACCACAUAACCCAACACGCUCGAUCCCAUUUGGUCGGACACACUUUCCUGGGUCAUGCCCGGCCUCAGAAGAUCAACACGUCGCAGCCCCACCUAGGCACAACAGAGAGGUCAGCACGCCGGUCUAAAUCCUAUGCGCGCAGGGGUCUGGGCCCAUCGCCCAUUGCACACCUGCACGUUGCGUACGCGGCCGGUGAGCAGACCUAGCAACCUCCAUUACAAAGGAAGUUGCGUGAACGCAGUCCAACCCAGCGCGCGCCGCUCAGUCGCUGAUGUCAAAAAGGCUUCGGCUGAUACCACGACGUCGAGUGCCCAUAACUGUUCCCGCGUAGUUGGUUAGUGCGUAUAGGCCAGUAGCCAGACUCAGAUCAAAUACCAAGAUCUCAUUAAGCGUGUUAAGUAUCCGCGAACGCUGAACAGGGCCAGGCCCACCUAUCUCCUAGGUUGUCUCAACCUGCCCUGCCGCUCCGCCACAAAGUAACAGUCGGGGGCCGUCGAGAACCCAGGCCCACCUCUACCGGGAUGGAGCCACCUGUCCCUUCAGCCCCCUCAUCAGAAUCACUUGUGGGUACUCAUCGAGCUGACCCGACUUUAGUCACCAUUUGUAUAGUAUGUAUGUAUGUAUAGUAUAUACCCAUUAUCACCUCCCGAGUGAUCAAGGCCCAAUAGUAUAGCAAGGCAGACUGACAAGAAUGUAGGGCCAAUGAUGAUAAACUAGCAUCCUAUACUAAGUAUUUAGGAUUGCAGGUAAGGUAUCAACAGAUGUAGCAAGAAUGUCAGGCUAUGCAUCAGAAUAGGAUUAACGGAAAGCAGUAACAUGCUACACUACUCUAAUGCAAGCAGUAUAGAGGAGAAUAGGCAAUAUCUGGUGAUCAAGGGGGGGGGGCUUGCCUGGUUGCUCUGGCAAGAGAGAGGGGUUGUCAACUCCGUAGUCGAACUAGGGCAUCAGCAUCGUCACGGGGUCUACCGAAGAGAAGAGGGGGGAGAAACAGUAAAUACAUAGCAAGCAAGUGCAUAACAGGAUAACAGGCAGAGCUAGACGUGUUCUAACGCGGUAUGAGGUGAUACCGGUGAAGGGGGGAAGCAUCCGGGAAGUAUUCCUGGGGUUCCGUGUUUUCGGGCAGAGGAGCCGGAGGGGGAAAGUUGCGAGUUCGAUAGGUUAGGGGGGUGUGGCAGACGAACGGGUUGCGUAUCCGAAAUCGUCUCAUCGUUCUGAGCAACUUUCAUGUACAAAGUAUUUUCAUCCGAGUUACGGAUUAUUUUAUAUUAAUUUUUAAAGUUUUAUGUCAUUUUUAGAAUUAACAGAAUUAAUUAAACUGAAAAUCAUUUUAUCACGUCAUCAUGAUGUCAGCAUGACAUCAACGGUCAACUGUGGACUUUGACUAGUCAACAGACCACUCGGUCCCACAUGUCAUUGUCUAAGGAUAACUAAACAGGUUUAAUUAGUUUAACUAGUGAUUAGGUUGGUCUAAACAGAAUUAAUUAAGUUAAUUAAUUUAGUUAAUUAAUUAAUUAACAUUUUUAUUUAUUUAUUUUUAUUACUUUGUUUUGUUUUGGGGCUGUGGGCCCCUCGUGUCAUAGAGUCAAGGCCUUAACGGGCGCGGGAACUGGGCUAAUGAGGCUUCGCCCCGGUCGUGCAGGCGCGUGCGCCGGGCGCCUUAGCGCGCGGACAGGGGGGAAGGGGACGGCGUGUGGUCCGACACCGGCGACCGUGGCCGGUGCAAGGCGGCGCGGCGAGGCCGGCCGGAGCUGAGGGGAGGCGCGAUGGCAUGUGCGCGGGGCGCCAGAGGCGAGCAGCGCAACGACGAGCGAAGCUGGGCCGCGCGGGCGGGGCGCCGUGGCCGAGCGGGAAGUUGCAUCGCGCAGGGCGCGGUCGGGCAGCCGUGUACGGCGAGGCGAUGGCGGGGGAACGGCUCGGGUGCACGGUGACAGGGGAAGAGGGGAGAGGAGGAGGGCGCAUGCUCACAGGGGUGUUGCAGGGGUUCGGGCAGCGGGGGGACGAGGAGGUGGACGGGGACGACCGGCGAGGAAGGCGGAGACGGGGUUGAGGAGGCGGUCCGGCGGGCUCCGACGACGGCGCGAGGCGGCGGUGAUGUCGACGACGUUGACUAGGCGUCUGGCCACGAGGGAGACGCGACGGGGCCGCGAGUAGGAUGGCAACGAGGUGGCAGGGCGACGUCGAGGCGAGGUGGCGCUGGUGAUCCGGCGACGGCGCACAGCGGCGGGGGCGAAGGGAUCGGGGCGGCGAGCGAUUGGGCGCGGCCAUGCGGGAGGAGGGGAUCGAGCAGGGGCGCCCCUCCCCCAGGCACGAUGCGUGCAUGAGUGUGUGUGCGUGUGUUGCAUGUGGUGGCGGCGGGUGAGGGGACGAGGGGAAAGGUGGGAGGAGUGGGACGACGGGGGCAACGGGUUAGGGUUUAUGGGGGGAGGGGUAGUGGCCUUGUAGGCCAGAGAUGGGGGGGCGGCUGGGCCGGCCGGUCGGCCAGCUGGGUCGGGGCCCAACGGGAGGGGAGGUUUUCUCCUUUUGUUUGUUUUAUUUUCCCCUUGUUAUUUUUCUUUAUUUCUUUUCUGUUACUUUUAGUUUCACUUUUAUUUUAGAUAUUUGACUUACAAAAGUAGUUCCUAACUUAGUCUAAAUAAUUAUACUACGACCACAUAAGUUUGGGCAACUAGAUAGAAUAGUUUAAGAAUUUGUUAAUUGUAAAAAGCAUUUGAUUAAUUGUUUUACUACUAUUUUAUAUACUUUAGGACAAUCAAACACUUUCAAAGAGGUUGGUUUUUCCACCAUUAUUACUUAUGCAUUAUUUGGCUCUCUCCGAACAUUUUUGUCUUAAGGUUUGAAAACUUUUAUUGUUUGUUUGAUUUUUUAAUUUGGACUCGAACCGGUUUCAAACUAACGCGAGAUUAGCAGCAGUAACCGAGGUGAUCUCGCAUCAUUAGCAUGGGAUCAUUGUAGCUUAAUUAUCUGGGCGUCACAGAAGUCAUGGAAAUACCUCAAGUAAAUAAUCCAAAAUAUUAUUCUGUAUUCCUUCUCGAGAGACUGGCUUCUUGUUCAAUUAAAAAAAUCAUAUUUCUUAUUCAGUUGGAGCGUUCGCAAUAGUAGAGCUUUCUUCAGGAUUAUUUGUAGAGAUGUACGGACUUUCUUUAUCUACAGAUUAAUAGGCUGAAACACCAACACCAUGAUUUUCAGACCCUGCCAACUCUAUAAUUCUAUAAGAUCCAAUACCUGCUAGAUUGUUCCACAACACCAAUGUCCAAGUCAAUACCAUAUAUUAUCCACUGAAAUGUAUGAUUUAAUAUCAUAUGCAAAAACAUUAGAGCAAUGUGCUCUCCUUUACCCAUAUUGUGUACCACAGAACAUUAUGAACAUUAGGGGAGGAUUAGCCUACAACUAUUUUAGAUCCUGCACCAAAUACUUGUAGUUUUCCUAAAUUAGGGAGAAGAACAAGGUUGAAAUCCGCAAGAGUCGUAUAGAAAUUUCUGCAAUCAAUAUCAUACCUGAUCCAUGUACGACAGCCUCUAAAUAAGCAACAUAAGUCCACAAUCCAUAAG